UGCACUGGAAAAACUUCUGGUGGCGUGUUGCAGUUUCUUGUGGUUUCUACGGACUUGGGCUGAUUGUCAGAGUGAUGUCAGCCGAGACAGUUACACAUACUGAGGCAAGACCCGUGGAGGACACGUGAUGAUUGGAAGGAGCAUAAAAGGACUCGAUGGACAGUGGCAGAGGCCGAGCGUGGCUUGUUAGUAGAUGUGGCUGUGCAACACUUGGUUUCGAAUCCUCCCUGAUCUUUGCUUUGCUGUGAGAGGCACAGCUGAGAACUUCUGAGGUUUCUGCUGGUCCCUCCUGCUGACCAGGGCAGAAGCUGAGGCUUGGUUGUCUCCCUAGGUUAUGCCAUCGCUGCUGAUUCCUGUUUGCUAUCCCGACUUUACCGAACUGGACUGCUGGUGUACCUGUAGAGUGUUUGUGAGUGGAUCGAGCUGCCCCUGCUGAAUCCUGUGAAUGGAACUGCUGAUUUCCUGACAGUGCAGAUGGGAUUCUCUCCAAUGAUCUAAGCAGGUCCGCUUCCCCCGUAUCCUUUCCUUUCCAUUACCUCUGGUGGGUGGUGGGCUAAAAGGGAGGUUAAAGCAUUUAAGAAUCAUCAUUAAAAAUAGGCUCUAAAACAAAAAAUUAAAGUUACACCAGUGUUGCUGGUAGUCCAGGGGUUCAGCACAUGGGGGUGACAUCUGGGUAAGAAGACUGGAGAGACACUUCCCACAGACCUGGAUCGCGUUUUGGGCGCUGCCGUUUUGGCAGUGAGGUAUCCCAUGAUAGUUACUAUUUUACCAAGUGGUCCCUCCUUAUCCAAAGAGGAAGCAAUCUAAGACUGAAGUGGGUACCAGAAACUGCUGAUUCAGAGGGCACCAGACCUGAUGCGUACUGUCUUUUAUGUGAAUUUUACAUACGAAUAUAUACAUAUGUAUAAUAUACUAAUAGAUGAGUGAUUUUGAUUUAUAAAUUAAACAUAGUAAAAAUAAUAAUAGCAAGGAUAAACUAGAAUAAUCGGAAUGGUACAUUACAAUAAAAGUUAUCUAAAGCUCGCAAGUUGUUUGUUUCUGGAAUAUUCCAUUGAAUAUUUUUCUUUUUUUUCUUUUUUUUAGUUCUUUUUUUUUUUUUUUUCGGAGCUGGGGACCGAACCCAGGGCCUUGCGCUUCCUAGGUCAGUGCUCUACCACUGAGCUAAAUCCCCAGCCCCUUUCUUUUUUUUUCCUUUUUAAGAUUUUUUUUUUUUUUUUUUUUUUGUAUAUAAGUACUCUGUCUUCAGACACACCAGAAGAGGGCAUCGGAUCCCAUUACAGAUGGUUGUGAGCCACCAUGGUUGCUGAGAAUUGAACUCAGGACCUCUGGAAGAGCAGUCAGUACACUUAACCACUGAGCCAUCUCUCCAGCCCCCAUUGAGUAUUUUUUUAGACACUGGUUGAUCAUAAGAAACUGAAACCUUUGGAAGAGAAAUUGUGGCUAAGUGGGGACUGACUACUCUACAUCCCAGGCCUCAUGACCUGAGGUGUGUCUCACGGCUUCACAUUCCUCCUGAGACUGUAUGCCUGGGUUCUUAUUAGGUUCCUGACCUGCCAUGUUCUGCACCCUCAGCUCCCUCCUCAUUCUUCCCUAGACCCUUAAUUCCACAUCUCCAGUAUCCAGACAAACUGAGAUGCGCACUGCCGCACUACUUGUGCUAGUAGUAGGCCUUGAACUUCAUAUUUGUCCUGUUUGUACCCAGGCCACAGUACUUGCCUGGUCCCCAUCUUGUCCCUCAGGCUCCUUGGCAGCCCCAUCCUCCACCCUGCUCCUCAGUGUUACAGUCAUCGUGGGUCAGACCUGAGAAGAGACAGAGAUUGACAGCACAGAACUGACAGCCUCAAUGUGGACCUGCCAGAUGUAAGAAGUUAACGUUUGCCAGAGGAGGCAUCGCAGAUCGGGGAAGAGGAGGAGGCUUGCCAAUCAACGGCAUAGGGACAAUUGAUGAGCUCCUUGGAAAAAAAAUCAAUUUAGAUAAUUAUCUUAGCCUCCUCCAGAUUAAUUCCAGAUUUAUUGAUGAGGUAAGUCCCCCACUCCCCACCCCCACGCCCAGAGGGAAUGACUAGAGAAUAUUUAUUAAGUCUCUGGGAGAAGGAGGGCUAUCUCCUUAGCUUGGAUUUUCAUGAUCUUCUUAAUAGGGGGAAAAAAUCAAUAGGUUAAAAAAGAAAAAAGAUCUGGGCUGGAGAGAUGGCUCAGCCUUUAAAGGCUAAGCUCAUGCCCCUAAAAAAAAAUUCUGUUCAAUUCUGCAUGCUGAAAAAGCAAUCCAAAUAAAAAGAAAUGAACUCUUUGAAUUAAAAAAGAAAAAACAGUACUGAAUACAGUCAAUGAGGACAUAAUUCAGACCAAUAGACACUCUACAGAGGGACAUAGGUCUCCAUGAGGAAAUGGAACGGAUAACAAGCAUACGGGCAACUGGUCAGCCUUGCUCGACACACUGAAGUCUGCAUGUAGAUGGGCUAAGGGAGAGACAGGGACAGGGCUGGCAGUAGACGGAGCUCAGGAGGAAGAAAGCUAGCUUAGCAUGCAGGAAGGCCUGGGUCCGAUUCUCAGCGCUGCUUAAACCAAGCCUACCUGUAAUUCUAAGACAGGAUGUGGAAGAGGAAGGAUCUGAAGUUCAUGGGCAUCCCUGGCUAGGUAUCUAGUCUGGGACCAGAUUGGGUUGACAUGAGAACAUGUUUCAGAAAAAAAUAAAGGAAGGAGGGGUUGGGGAUUUAGCUCAGUGGUAGAGCGCAUGCCUAGCAAACGCAAGGCCCUGGGUUCGGGCCUCAGCUCCAAAAAAUAGAAAAAAGAAAAAAAAGAAAAAAAAAUAAAGGAAGGAAGGAAGGGAGGAAGGGAGGGAGAAAGGAAGGAAGGAAGGAAGGGAGAGGGAGGAAGGAAGAAAGGAAGAAAGAGAGCUGGAGAGAUGACUCAGCGGUUAAGAGCACUGUCUGCUCAUCCAGAGGUCAUGAGUUCAAUUCCCAGCAACCACAUGUGGCUCACAACCAUCUGUAAUGGGACCUGAUGCCCUCUUCUGGUGUCUGAGGACAGCUACCGUGUACUUAUAUAAGAAAGAAAGAAAGAGAGAGAGAGAGAGAGAGAGAGAGAGAGAGAGAGAGAGAGAGAAAGAAAGAAAGAAAUCUUUUAAAAAGAAAAGAAAAAGGACAGAACUCUUAAUGAGUGUAGUCAUAGGCACAACCAUGACUUGUCUAUGGUCUCUGCUCAUGGGAGGGGGCCCUGAGGCUAUGAGAAGCCAGCAACUUGAUAGCCCUGCAAUCAUUAUUGUUAUUAAAGCCAGCCUCUCCCACCCCUCCGCAGCCUGUAAGGCAGGUGAGUCUGUUCUUAUUUGACUGUUGGGGAGACUGAGGCACAGAGAGCUGUUGUUAGACAGCAUGAGGGUCAGUAUUUGAUGACCCUAAGCCAUCUACCCUGACCCGGCCAGGCUGCCUCUCAGCAAACAAGCAGGUAGUUCGGGGCUGAGGAGAUAACUUGGUGAGUAAAGCACUUGCCUUCCAAGUGUGAGGAUUGAGUGAAGGUCCUAGGACCCACUAACGAAGCAGGGCGUGGUGGCAAGGUCCUGUGAAUUCAGUGCUGGCAAGAACAGAUGAGGGUUCAUGGGGGUGGCUGGCCAGCCCUCAGGGCCUGCUUCUUGAGUUCCAGGCUAUUAGAAACUCUGCUUCAACAAUGUCUGAGAUUCACCUCCACCAUGCAUUUGUGUGUAUCUGGUGCACACACAGAACAGACAGAGACAUAGACACACACAUAAACACAGACACAUACACGCACAGAGAGAAACACAGAAAUAUAGACACACAUACAAACAUGCACAGAGAGACUCAUGGACAGACACAACACAGACACAUACACCCAAACAGACGCAGGUACACUCAGAGAGAAACAACACAUAUAGGCACACACGGAGGUUGACACACGCACACACGCGCGCGCGCGCACACACACACACACACACACACACGCGCGCGCGCGCGCCACUAUACACCUUCCCCCAGCACACAUAACAGCAACCUGACUCCCAAAGGAUCCUGCACCUUGAAGACUCGAAUAAGGAGCUACAAGAAAACAGUGAGAACCAAGAAGAGGGGAAUGCAGCCAGCAAAAGACAGAGUACUGGAUGAACAAGCCCACACCUUGCCCUGAACAUGAGUGCGUGGCCGUUGUUUUCCCUUAGCUCCCUCGAUGACUGUCCCCACCCCAUCAGGUAAUGUGGCCUCCUAAUGCAUCCCUCCCUCCCGAGCCACGGUGCAUCUGAGUAUCUGGAAGCCAGGCUUCAGACCUUCCUGGCAGUAGGCUAGGCUGCCUGUCCCCUGGGAAUCCUUUGUCCUUUCCCAAACCUGCCAUUUGUGGUGGUGGUGGUGGGGGGGGACCGUUGUCUAAGCCUAGUGAUAAUUUAUGUUAAUAUAAUCUGUUUUAAAGUGUGAUGAGGUUGGGGAGGCCUUGGUUCAGCACCCUAAUCAGGAAUGAUUAGUGAGUCUCUGAAGUGUUCUAAUCAAGAACACACGCUCCAGAAGUGCUAUUUGAAUAUUGUUUUUGAAAUCUAGCAACAGAUCCAUUAACUACUCAAGGAAGGGUGGGGGGGGGGGAUUCAGGUUGAAACCUGGCUGACUGGAAAGCUUGUGAGGGAGCCUGUGGGGGCCUGAGGGAGCCUAUGGGGGCCUGCAGGAGCCUGAGGGAGCAGCCAGCCCAGCCUUUGGAAAUACACAUGACUUCUAGACAUCUAUUGGACUCUGUUUUUUCCUAUUUCCCUGAGACUUUAGUGUCCUACCCCAGCUUGAAAUCGGCUAAUCCUGAGUCAGAAUACUGUCCCUUUGGGGUGUACCCCCAGAUUAUUGGAGUGCCCGGAUAGAUGCCUGCCUCAAAUUCACAAAAGUGACUGUGUUGUGUUUAAAGCUCUUUGUUGGGGCUGGGGAUUUAGCUCAGUGGUAGAGCGCUUACCUAGGAAGCGCAAGGCCCUGGGUUCGGUCCCCAGCUCCGAAAAAAAGAACCAAAAAAAAAAAAAAAAAAAAAAAGCUCUUUGUUAAUACACUGGCACACUCGGCAGAAUGUUGUCUUGGACUCCCUUCUGAGACCUGGUGGCAAGGCUAUGGAAGUGGGGGGCACUGUGUAUGUACCCCAGUGACUCUCACGCCAGAGGCCACCAGCAGUCACAGCAGCAAAACCAACAAAAAAUGACUGAGGCCACACUUGCUUGCAUGGAGGGAAUGGGCCGCAUGUAACCCCCUCAGCCUAAGCUCAUUCCCACUGGCCCAAGAGAUUUCCCUACACAUGUAUGAAACAGAGCUGCUAACCACAGAGACAUUAAGGGGGGAAGGUUCCAUUCUCCCCCCAAACCCCUCACUCCUGCUGGAAGCAGACUGAUUGACAGGUACAGGGGAUUGACCUCAGUGAGGUGCCUUCUAAUUAGCAGCCAUGGUGGCCAGGGCCAGCUCUGCAAAUGCCUCCGGGGCUGCCAUUCCGCAGAGCAGGCAGGUCCAUUAGGGCUCUGAGUGCUAGGAGGGGGAGCAGAAGGGGGUACCUCUUUGGGGUAGAGAUGGGGAAGAGGCACCAGAUCCUGAGGUCUUUAUGAGGACAAGACUUCUGCGAGGACGGAGGGAUUUCCCCAGUUGACAGACAAUAAGAAACCAGCCCUAGCCCCCUUCCAGUGCAUUUUCAAUGUCUCUGACAACUUGACCUACUAUUAUGAAAAUUACUCCAAUUCUGCAUUUGCAUGUGAAAUGCCAGCUAAGUGCUCUGAGGGGCAGAUUCUGCAAACGAAGCAUUGGAGUUCCUAAAUACAGUGUUGGUGUUUGGUCCUUUGUUGGGCUGGCUUGUGACCCAGAGACAUGACAGGCUUUGCCCCGUGGCCUGUGGUGAAUUACUUGUCCCCCCAAAUGCUUCCUAUGGCUCACAGACAAGCCCCCUUAAAGUAAAUGGGCUUCAAUCACCAGUUUCAACAAUUCUCCUGUCUCCAAGUAAUAAAACAUCUGGGAAAUUGGGCUAAAUGGAUAAAACAGCCCUCUGUAAUAAGUAUCUGGCAUCCGUACAACUCUGUAUAAUGUGCCUUCUUUUUUUAAUGACCAGAUGUGGUACUUCUGUGUUAUGAAAAGCAGAGGCAUGUGUAGCCAUGCCUUUUACUACCUUUAAGAUGCAAGCUCUAUUAAUAGCUCUCAGGAGAGAUGUUCUCCCAUUGACUGAGAAUUGUUGAUGUGUAGGUUUACAAACUUGAAAAGUAAGCGAACCACUCGGAAAAUUGCGGAUAUAAUUUAAGCGGUCGUUAAACUGGACACUUGAAGGAAGCUGGCUUCAGGAAAAGAAUUCGGUCCAUAAAUUUCCCCUCUCUCCCGCUUUCGUAUGGGUGUUGCUCCACUCCUCAUAACUAAAUCCCAGCCUGAGAGACUACUUGUUGAUUCGUUGCUUGGGUAGACAUCAUGUGCUCUUUGAAGGAAGCUCCAACAGGGACUCGAUCCGCUAAAAGAUUCUUCCAAGAGGACACAUGAGCUCCCCUGGGCCUUUGGGUUGCAGACAUGGAAGUGGGAAGAUGUUUCUCUUACUGCGUGGGGCUUGAUCACAGCAAGGGAAACAGUGUCUCGGCCCACAGCUGGGAAACUGUCUAAACUAAGUUUGAAAGAGCAAUUUGAUGAAGACAUGUCUUUGCUUGUGAGUUGGUGUGCCAAUCUCUACUGGGUACAGUGUGCCAGAAUGUAACCAUGAUCUGGUAACCAACUAUGGAGAAGGGGCAAAGUGGAUUAAAAAAAAAACAGUCUAAUUGUAGUCAAUUGAUUCCAGCUUCUCCUCUGUCACACUGUUAUCAGAUCUGUCAACAUGGGGCAAAGUAAAUCAAAUAAUCAUGUCUUCUCUCCCUAUAAAUCCAGUGUGUGUGUGUGUGGGUGUGCGUAUGUGUGUGAGAGAGAGAGAGAGACAGACACAGAGAGAGAGAGACAGAGACACAGAGAGAGACAGAAAGAGAGUGAGGAGGAAAAUGGGGUGGGGUGGGGCAAACCUGGCACUCCAGAGGGCCGGAAAACAGGAACCAUGAGUGGCAGGAAGAUAGAGGAGACAGUGUAGUUCAGUGGUUAAGAACUC
Molecule: non-coding RNA, 7056 nt
Organism: Rattus norvegicus (Norway rat)
Lineage: Eukaryota; Metazoa; Chordata; Mammalia; Rodentia; Muridae
Source: RefSeq, a predicted model, not a curated record